ACCAGACUCCUACGGGAGGCAGCAGUGGGGGAUAUUACACAAUGGGGGAAACCCUGAUGCAGCGACGCCGCGUGUGGGAAGACGGUCUUCUGGAUUGUAAACCACUGUCCCCAGGGACGAAAAUGACGGUACCUGGGGAGGAAGCACCGGCUAACUCCGUGCCAGCAGCCGCGGUAAUACGGAGGGUGCAGGCGUUGUCCGGAAUCAUUGGGCGUAAAGAGUUCGUAGGCGGCAUGUAAAGUCAGGUGUUAAAGGCGCAGGCUCAACCUGUGUAUGGCACUUGAUACUUGCAAGCUGGAAUGCGGUAGAGGUAAAGGGAAUUCCUGGUGUAGCGGUGAAAUGCUUAGAUAUCAGGAGGAACAUCGGUGGCGUAAGCGCUUUACUGGGCCGUAAUUGACGCUGAGGAACGAAAGCCAGGGUAGCAAAUGGGAUUAGAUACCCGUGUAUC
RNAcentral lists this ribosomal RNA (448 nucleotides) under uncultured bacterium. RNAcentral's name for it is "partial 16S ribosomal RNA". It matches the Rfam family "Bacterial small subunit ribosomal RNA", at positions 330 to 794 of the family's 1533-position model. The record is from RNAcentral.